GGUUGCGAAGAUUGAAGCUGGUGGAUGCUAUGAAAUCAUUGAUUUCCGUACCAGUAAAAUCAGGGGACAAUACAAAGUAGUCCCGCAUGAAACUCAAGUUUUGUUUAAUGCGGUAACAAAAUUUAAAAAAUUGGCCAGUGUGUUUCCACCCAUCCCUCGCCAUCGGUUCUUUCUACAAGAUUACAACACACUUUACCCUCGCUUGGACAGGGUUGACAUCCUUACAGAUGUUAUCGGUUGUAUAAGAGCCGUACAGUCCUUGGAAGAAAAACAGAUUAAUCAGAGGGUUGCAUACAAAUGUGAUGUGCACAUUCAGAAUAUAAGAAAAGAAGAACUCACGGUUACGUUAUGGGCAGACAUUGGUGAAGCUUUUUCUUCUUUGUCAAUAGAGGCAUUUUCGCUGC
Long non-coding RNA from Pyrus x bretschneideri (Chinese white pear), 404 nucleotides. RefSeq lists it as uncharacterized. The record is from RefSeq and is a predicted model, not a curated record. NCBI's taxonomy places the organism in Eukaryota, Viridiplantae, Streptophyta, Magnoliopsida, Rosales, Rosaceae. The transcript is spliced from 3 exons.